CUCGCCUUUUUUGUUCUGUUGAUAUGGAUUCCUGAUCCAUUAUCUCUUUUUAAUUUGUUGCAGAACAUGUGCUUUUGUCAAUGGCUGAGGAGUAGCAUGCUCCAUUGUAUGCAUUUUCUAACAUAAAAGAUGCGAUCUGGCUGAGGAACUUGACAGGAAUAACUAAUUAACUACAGGGUCCAACUGCUGGAUGGAACCUUCAACGACAGGAGUUGAUCCGAAUAAAAGGUAUCGUGGAAUGAUUACCCCUUAUGUUUCUAUCUUUGUAUAAAGUUUUAUGUGUUUCUACUGUUCAUACUAAUUCGCUUGAUGUGGUUCAAUCCUAAAAAUAUUGGGGAAUGUGUUUAUUGCUACAUAUAUUUAAUCUCUUACACAUAAUAUGCCGAGAAACGACUCUCUCGGAGGGCUAUUAUCAUGCCUUGAAGAUGUCAUGAGUGCAGUUUCAUAACCAUACUGAAUUCUGAAUAAUUAUACUAUUCCUUAUAUAUAUGCUUCAGGAGAAAUUCUACAUUCAUGCUAUCAACUAUAUACUCAGAGUUCAGGGGUCACUGAUGUAGCCCAAUGUGGCAAUAUAUACAUGUAUAUCUGUCAUUUUUUAUUUGCAAACUACAAGAUGCAUCAUACAUGGUUUUAUGAAACUUUCGUAAUUUGCUUUAAGGCAUACUUUGUAAAGGUUAUUACAAACCAAUGAUCUGUGCAUGACGCUAGCAAUACAAAAGCAGACUCGACUUGAUCUAGAGCCAUAGCACCGUUAAAAAAAACUUGGUCCCUAGCAUGGGAAACAAAAAGCAUGUAAUGUGAUUGUAACCACGUGGGUAGAGUAGCAACAUAAUUUUAGCUAUAAAUUUAUAUUUUUAGUAUCAUAGGACAUGUCAAAUGCAUCUUUGUUUGAGUUUAUGUACGUCAAUGUUUAUCCGCACAAUUUUUUUCUUUAUGCUCCAAAUUGCUGAUAAUACCGUGUGAUGGCAAAAGUGGUAAGAUAGUUAGAAUAUGCAAAGUUUGAAAACAUUUGCUAUGAAUGAAACUUCGGUCCUCUCUAGAACUAUUUCUGAUUGUUCCAUCUUUUUUACAACCAAAGUGUAUGCUACCAAUUUUCUCAGCAAAGCGCACCCCAAAUGUGACUGGAAUCUUAAGACCGUGAUUAUUUAUGUUGACGUCCUUUUGUUCACUAUGAUUUGGUAUUAGUGUUGAUGUUAUUUUGUGUCUUUGGAUUCACAGCAAUGCAGUGAGCUAUAAUUCAGAGGUCAAGCUAUGAUGCUUUGUGCGUUUCUAGAAUGGACUGUACUGGCAUAGCUGCACAGGUCUGGUACGCUUCAUGAUGGCUGAUAAAUAGUAAAUUCCAAUGCAGAGAAUGCAUGUACUAUCUUACAUGGCACCAAAAUAUGUUCUUGAUAUUGCUUGCAUCCUCAUAUUAUUGACCUAAGUUUAAGUUAACAUCUACUCAGACAUUAUGUUGAUUAUUAUUGAUUGUUACCUGAGUGGUAUUUUGUAAUUAUUUGUACUGUAGCAAAUUUA
Molecule: long non-coding RNA, 1515 nt
Filed under: Triticum aestivum (bread wheat)
Lineage: Eukaryota; Viridiplantae; Streptophyta; Magnoliopsida; Poales; Poaceae
Description: long non-coding RNA (TAES_LNC001732)
Source: RNAcentral